This is a long non-coding RNA of Empidonax traillii (willow flycatcher), 1595 nucleotides long. RefSeq lists it as uncharacterized. Lineage: Eukaryota; Metazoa; Chordata; Aves; Passeriformes; Tyrannidae. The transcript is spliced from 3 exons. The record is from RefSeq and is a predicted model, not a curated record.
GGUGAGAGCUUUGUCCUUUGGAAAUCCAGGCAGGAGCUGCCUCUGUUGAGGUGGGACCUCCUUAUGUAACCCACUUGCUACUGAAGUACCUCAGUGUAAAUGGAAAAGUUAAGAAGAAAAUACAAGAAGAAACACAAGAGGGUUUUUUUCCUCCUUAAGUGCUCUCAUGGGUUUGCUGUCUUUUACUUGUUCCUCUCUUAUCCAAAAUGAAACUUUCUUCUUUUUUUUUGCCCCUCAAAAAGCAUGGAAAGAAAAAUUGCUAAUGAAUCAAAGUACAAGAAAAGUUAAUGGUUGUGUCCAGAGCACUGAUUUUUCCUCAUGGGUGUGGCAGAACUAGAACUGGAGCCCACGUGGAGUCUCCAUCCAAUGCUGCUCUGCACUCAUCAGCCAUCCCUCCAAUUAAUUAACUGCCUGAAAUUAAUAUACAGACCAGCAUCACUUUUAAUUUCAUUUUCUGUUACUCCAAACUGAAUUGCCUUUAAUAAAAACCUUACAAAAAGCAGAUUUACUCUUAUCUGCUCAUGCCAACCCUGAGCCACCAUUGGCAUGUUUUACAUGAGCCCAAGUUCUACCCUGAGUUAAUGAACAAGGCAGAGUGGGAAUAUAAGACAACUUUUAAACCUACAGAUAAUGCAGAACACUGUCAAAUGGGGAAUUCAAGAGAAAGAGGAAAACCUCUCCGAGUUUAACACAAAAAUAAAUGAUGGUUUUAGCACUGCUACACGAACAUUGCAUUUCCCAGAAGCAGAAACUUGUUUGGAUCUGGGUCAAGAGGAAAAAAAAAAAAAAAAAAAAAGUUGCUGAAAUUAAGAACACUUCGAAGUUUGGAUUGAUUAGAAGUGAGUGAGGUUUGUUGUCAUAAGGUUUUUGUAAGGGCUGAGGAGUUUGUGUUUGACUUUAUUCUUAAAUAUUUACGAGAAAACUAACCACUGUGUUUUUGGCUCUGUAAAUAUUGACAGCAGGGUUUCAUCUUUCAUUAGGAGGACCAAUAUUUGCAGAAUUGAAUCCGUGACCCUCAGGUUAAAUGCACAGGGAGAUGGGAGGGGGAUCUUGUCACUGCAAUGAGGGGUCAAACUGGCUGAUUCCAGUAGAGAUAAAGGGGGAGAAUGGGGGAAUUAUGGACCUUUUCUGUUAAAACACACCAAAUGUUUGAGCAAGGGAUGCUCUUCUCCCUCAGGUGAAGUGUCCCAGGUAUCUCCUGCUCGUGGCUUUCAGGCUGGUGUGGGUCUGGUUUCUCCUUCUCUCUGCCUUUGCUCUGGUGACAACGUGCUCUUGAGGGAGCUUGGCUGAUGCUGCAGCCCUUGCCGGCCCUGCUAAGCUUUACAGCUGGAAUUUUAUAUCCAUGGAGGAAAGAAAAAAAACCUAGAGCUUCUCUCACUUAGCACCCUUUGGGACAGCAGCUGUAGAUGAAGAGCAAGCAAUCAACAUGUCAGGAUAAAAUUAGAUUGCCACGGAGUACAAAGUCUCUGGCUAACAGGAACUGUCUCCUGAAGGGAGCCAUCAGGAUGUGGGAGGUGUGGCUGGGAUUGCUGUGAGGGUGCUGAGCCAAGGAGGUGUUUGACCCUCGGGCCUCGCAAUUCGUGCCGCGUCGAAUC